GGAGAUGUGGCCGAGUGGUCGAAGGCGCUCCCCUGCUAAGGGAGUAGGCCCGAAAGGGUCUCGUGGGUUCGAAUCCCAUCGUCUCCGCCA
This 90-nucleotide transfer RNA is filed under the name Roseinatronobacter thiooxidans. RNAcentral's name for it is "tRNA-Ser". It matches the Rfam family "tRNA". From Rfam's summary of the family: Transfer RNA (tRNA) molecules are approximately 80 nucleotides in length. Their secondary structure includes four short double-helical elements and three loops (D, anti-codon, and T loops). Further hydrogen bonds mediate the characteristic L-shaped molecular structure. tRNAs have two regions of fundamental functional importance: the anti-codon, which is responsible for specific mRNA codon recognition, and the 3' end, to which the tRNAs corresponding amino acid is attached (by aminoacyl-tRNA synthetases). tRNAs cope with the degeneracy of the genetic code in two manners: having more than one tRNA (with a specific anti-codon) for a particular amino acid; and 'wobble' base-pairing, i.e. permitting non-standard base-pairing at the 3rd anti-codon position. The record is from RNAcentral. Lineage: Bacteria; Pseudomonadati; Pseudomonadota; Alphaproteobacteria; Rhodobacterales; Paracoccaceae. RNAcentral also lists the same sequence under 10 other names.